Molecule: long non-coding RNA, 220 nt
Filed under: Nicotiana benthamiana
Lineage: Eukaryota; Viridiplantae; Streptophyta; Magnoliopsida; Solanales; Solanaceae
Description: long non-coding RNA (NBEN_LNC000693)
Source: RNAcentral
UCGUGGCAAGGAUCCACGGCAGCUGCAGUAGAUCUCAAAGCAAGGUCUAGAAGAGACUAAUAGAAGAAAGAAAAGAAGAAGAAUAUCACGUUACUGGGGAGAUUUAAGUGCUUUCUCUAUGUUACAGAAAGCAGAAAACCAAAGAAACAACUAUGUAAAAAACCUGUAGCUUCUCCACGGAGAUCUCAUCAGGCUUCUUCAUGAGCUCCUCUUUAGCUGU